Molecule: long non-coding RNA, 5131 nt
Filed under: Sus scrofa (pig)
Lineage: Eukaryota; Metazoa; Chordata; Mammalia; Artiodactyla; Suidae
Description: lncRNA (ENSSSCG00045027281.1)
Source: RNAcentral
AUUUGCAGCAUUCAGCUGUAGGGCAGAUUUAGAGAUCAGCAUCAUGCCACUUUAAACUGUUGACAUUUACUAUCUAAAGCAGAGCUAAAAGAUUUCAUUUCAAGCCAAAGUCCAAGGAUGCAAAUACCAAUCGCAUGACUGACUACAGCUGGGAGAAGACAAGCGAGUGCCUUCUGAAAUUUAUCAACGUGGUCUCUAAACAAAAGCUUCAAAUGAUGACAACAUUGUUUCCUCAAAUCAUUCAGUACAGCAUUGUUUGAAGGAUCCUGAUGUCUCUUUUCAUAAAUAAGAAAUAUUGGAACCCUACAGCUUUUUGAGGGUUCUUUCUUCUUUAUUUUUUGUACGUUAAAGUGGCUUCCAAGUAAAAUUUUAGGAAAAUAUACAAGACUGUAUAGCACUAUGUUGGGGAAAGGGUGGCUUGGGAAGCAGUUGUGCAUAUCCCUUUUUAAAAAAAUUUUAUGCUCCCACAGACAUUCAGAUAAGGAUAUCAACGAACAGAUUGCCAGCCAGUUGGAAGGUGGGGUUAGGUUGUGAACCACUCAGAUAAGCCUCCACAGUAGGUUACAAAAUCAUUCCUGGAGAUGGUAAGGAACCAUCUGUUUAUUACACUGGCUAGUUAUCACUUAAAGCACCCUGGGAGCUCACUCCACCUGUAAUGGAAAAACCUGGCUACAAUCCACAGUCACAUCCUGGCUCUAGCUUUGUAAACCAUGACUUUGGUUCAAACCCAUCCAGUCAGAUCCUGAGAGCAGUUACCCUGAAGUGCAGAGAUGUGUCUGUUCUUCCCACAGGUGAAUCCCUCCUCAAGUCCACAUUAUGGGUGAGCCUUUGCACCCACCUGGUCAGGCCCUUUCUUUGUAGAACCCCAGCUUCCACUUAUAUCCUGCCCCAUCUCUCCAAGCCAAGAAUCCUCUACUCAUGCCUCCCAUUCAGACAGUGACUGAGACCAGCAAUACCCAACCCCUGAGCUCAGUCCCAGGCAUAGUCUACCUCCUAAGCCAUCCCUGGCAAGGGGUAUAAGCAUAGAUGCUUACUGGUUCCCAGUAGGUCACAAGAAUGAGUAAAAAAGUGGGGCAGACAUAAGAUAUCAAAACUAUAUGGUUGGAUGGAUGGCCCCAUCUAAUGAGGGCCAUUACCCUUUGGCCCCAGGAAUUGCUAAGGAUUGUCACCAUGAAGGAAUGCAGGAUGGAUGUUGCCAAAUGGCCUCAUUUCUUCAAAUAUAUAUGAAACAAACUAAUUUUCAAAAGUUGGUCUUUUUUCUUAAACUAUUUGAAACAAAGAAUACAUCAUAAUUUAGGCUUUUUGUCUUCAUUCAGGUUUGAGAUUCUAUGGUUCUAAAAACAUCUUGAUAUACUUGCCCAUGACUAUGACCUCAAAAAGCUUCCUGCUCUGAUUCCUCUUAGAAUCUUUCCAGAACUGCAGCCCCUGAAAGCAUUUGUCUGAGGGCAUUAAUCAGACUAGGGUCAUAGGCAGUGUGCCAAAAAAAAUCCCAUCUAUACUUAUUAUUUUCAACCAAUUCAACUCUACAACAGGCAGACAAAAGGAUCUAAGGUGCCACUGCCCGUCUCACAUGGCUGUGUGUGCACUAGACCAUUCUGGGCAGUCUUCGCUAAAAACCGUCUCAGCUUCUUGGAUGACCCUGAAGUAAAGGUUAAAAACUCCAUUUGCAGUGGGAGAGAAAAGGGCCUUUGCUCAAAGCCAAACAGCCACAGUCAACAACAGCAUAGUAUCUGAGCUCUGUCUGGCUCAAGCCUCUGUGGUAGAGAUCAGGACUUGCCUUCCAAAUGUCCACUUUCUUCUUCUUCUUUACAGCUACUUUGGAUCCUGAGUUGACUUUGAGAAUGGAAGCCAUGCGUUUAGAAAAUAGAUAACAGAAAAAGAAGGAAAUUGGGCUCAUGAUGAUGCUCUAGAAUUGCCAUGCCAGCCCCAGACUGCCUACUUCCAGACUUCUCUUAACAUGAGAGAUCAAACCUUUGUGUGUUUAAAUCACCAUUUGAAAGGAAUCUGUAUUAAGUGGUAUAGUCUCUCUUUCCCUCAGCCAUCUUUGCUCCAACCAAUCCUUUUUUCCUUUUUAAACUCCUAUUCUGUUGUGAAUUAAAUUCUCUUAUAUGGUCAAAAUUUUUCUAUCACUCUUUCACCUUAAUCAAUACAUGCCAUUUUCACUGAGGAUAAAAAUUCUCUCCCAAGGCAAGAUAGGGAACUUCCUCUUUUGCCUGCCUGUCCAGGUUAGCAAGGCUCACAAUUCCUGAACAGAUAGCAUUUGUCUCCUCUCUCUGGAGUCUAAGUGGAAAGUACAGUCCCUUGAGUAUGAAAGUAAUGCUACUGACCCAUCAUCACUAAAGCAUCUUGAGAAAGUAUUUUUUUGCCACCUUCCUCUCUCCCUCGUCUCAAAGGUGGGCAGUAUGAAAAAGCAGGGCAAAAAAGUCCUGCAAAAGAGUGAAGGCUGAGGCAAUAAAAGAGAGUGAAACUAAAUGGCUCACCUGGAGACAGCACUCACCCGUUUGGCCUCUGAUUAGCAUUGUGCCUUAACCCACAGAAAUAAGCAGCCUUAGACAUCCGCUAGAAUAUUGGUAUUUUCAAUGCCUAGUUUGAAUGACAGGACCCUGGAGGCAAAACAUUUCCUGUGGAGAUUCUGUACUUUUGCCUGCUUCUGCUUUUCUAGCUCAAACAGCUCAAUUUUGUAGGGCUUCAAAGUACAGUUCAAGGGACAUUUUAUAAGUCAAGUUAAUGGGCCUGGGGAUAUUACUGUGACUCAUCAAUUACGGGGAAAAUAUGAGGUAUGUGUAAACAUUCUGCAAUGGGCUAGAAAAAAAGACCCAAUUAUGUUUGUGAUUAUUUCUAGUGGUACUUCCACAAUUUUUCACAAAAUAAUAUAAUGGCGAAUGAAUUGACCCUGGACAAUUUUGGAGAAAGUCCCAUGGCCCAGUGGGAUAAAGGUCAUUGUAAAGUUAAAGAGGACAGAAUCUCCCUAGCUAUUUCCAGAAGAAAAACAUGUUAUACAGAUAAUUAAAUGACUUAUAAAAUCACCAGGCAAGACUGAAGAAAGACAUAUAAAGCUGAGCUUUCAGAAAUAGUUCCCAAGCCACACCACAGAGCUGGGCCACCAGAAGAACCACAACCUCUUCUGUGAUUAGCUACCUGCCACUGUGGAAUGCUGCCAGUUCCGUAAGUGCAGUGCUUCACCACAAUUAGGAAAUAAACUCUAAAAGGAAGGCAUCUGGAUCAUGAAAUCAAUAUGAUCCAGGUGCUACUCAGUCAGGAAGCUGCUAACCCAGCUGCUACUGUUGUCUGCUUCCAAAUCAUACAGGGCCUGCUAUGUUCUUCACCAGCACAACUGAAACCCAACACCCUGCCUCAUGACACUCACACAGCUAGUAACUGGGCCCCGGGACUUGGUCCCAUGCUAAGAACAAAGCAACAAAACACUACCAUGGCUAUUCACCACCUUAUCUCCAAGGAAGUCACAGGCUGUUUUCUAACUUUAUAGCAUUUUCCAGAUGAAAAAAUAUACUCAAGAGGGGCUUGGAAUCAAUACCAAGAGACAAUCCACCAUUUCUACCACAGAAUAAAUGUACUCUUAUCAUUUUACUAAGAACAUAUUAAAUACCUGGUACAUACACAGUAGUAUCAUAGCCCAGGCAGUAAAUAGCCUUUGCUGAGAAAGAGUUAUCCAGGUCUUCAAUUUUCAUCAGCUUCAAUUUCCACCAAUAUAGCAGCUAAACUAUCCCAUUUUUCAUAGUACUGUUUACUAAACCAUAGACAAGCAGUCAUUGCACAAAUGUUUAUGAAUGACAGCAAUGAUCACGAUAAGUGUUCCGCGAAGCUCUGUAAAAAAAUAUAUAUGUUCCCAAGAACCUUUAUAUCUAAUACGAGAAUACAUAUACAAACAUGAGUAUCUCUAAAUGAAGUGACACGUGUAUAAUAAGUGUUCCAAACCAACCCUGGAAUUUAGUUAUAAUUAGAGUUAAAUUGUCCAUAACACAAGUGAGACAAAGUAGGCAUGCCUGAAUUAGCACACCAGUUACACUAUUUGAGAAACAUCAUUUAAGUAGCGUUGACCACUUUUCUUCCAAAGUAGCAAACAGAGUAGUGCAAAGUAAACAGAAAUUCAUGCAUGGGUCAAACUGUAUUACAGAAAAUACUCAGGCACACUAUUAAACACUGUGAAUUGGUUUUCAGACCAUUGCUAAGAUGUCUUUGAAAAGAAUGGUGCAAGACACUCAUUUGAUUCAGUUGGACACUGAAAUAAAUAUGCCUGGUACUAAAUCUGUCCUUUUGCAAUCACUGGGGAAAAACAAGUUUGGUCACUGAUGAGUCUGCCCAUUGGGCAAAAUCUACUCUCCUAUGCAACCGCUUUUGCAAUAAAUCAUGCAGAAGGACAGCCCUGGUGGUAAGGGCUGUCCACUGUGAUUCCUAUUCCCACAGCAAACUCUUACUAAUACAGGAUAGAAUUAUGGAAACUCCAUAUUAUAUAACAGAUAUAAUUUAUAUAUUUCCUGAAAGCUUUUUCUUUGUUAUUAUUUAUAUCUGGUUUUAUUUUUUACCACAACUAAAGGACACAAAAGCAACAAAUUAUAAUGCCACAACUGCACUUUUGAUAAUCCUAUAAAAAAAAUAAGUCCAAGGGACUAUAGACUGGAGACAAAAACCCAAGGAAGGAUGCUGUGGGGCCCCCUGCACCUUUCAAAUGUAUCUCAUUGCACAUUAGACCUGUACUAUGAUAUUCAUGGGCAAAUCCGGACAGUACCGGCAAGGCUGUCUGGCUGCACAGCUGGAUUAGCUAGAUGAUGACAACCCAUUCUCCCCAGAGCCUCGUGACAGAGGGCCAUAGGCCCCAGUAGCCAAAAAAUCAUUAGCACCUUAACUCCUCCUCAGAAUUCAUGUUGGCUCCUCAUCUCUUUGAACCAGUGCAAAGACAAAGAAGUGUCCCAGGCCACGAAACACCUUUUAAGCCACUACUUAUCCUUGCAUUUAUCCCUACUUCUAACCUGGUUCUCAAUUCAGAAGAAUUCAAAAAUCAAGUCUAGCUUCCCACCUCCACCUUCCCUCAAAUUAUCGGUAUGGAGAGAAGCCUCAGGAAGGGGUCUUAGGACCCCAAGAGGCAGGAAAACCCCAGGGAGCCUCUAAUGCC